AGGCCCAGGCAGGGCAGGUGUGGGCAGAGCUGGUGUGCAGGCACAGAGGAGCUGGAGAGAGGCCACUGAGAGCGGGCCUGGCCAUGUGGAGUGCCCUGUGCGUGGGCUUCUUGCCCAUUGUAGCAGUCACUGGCCAGGUGACCUUGGAGCAGCACCCCAGGGAAGUGACCAAACAAGGUGGAAUUGAAGUCACCUUCCACUGCAGCAUGAAGGGAGCUGCUAUGAGGAGCUACCACGUCAUGUACUGGUACCGUCAGGGCCCACGAGGAAUGGAAUGGAUUUGCAGGGACAGUUAUGACUAUGGAGAACGUUUCCAUCGUCGCUUUAAGGGAAGGAAGGACAGCUCCCAGAACAACUACGCACUGCAGAUCCUGGCAGCAGAGCCAGGCGAUGCAGCAACGUAUUACUGUGGAGCAAGAAUCACCCUGGAGCAGCUCUGCAGCAGAGUGAACCAAACACCAGCAGAUGAGGAAGACAGAUCUCUCAGCAUUUCUUUCUGGCAGCUGCUCCCCAGGGCUCCUGUGAGGCAAUGGCAGGUGCAGGAAACGUCCCUCUGGCUGGGUGCCACUAAAAGGCACUGCAGGGAGGGCUGCUGGAAGGACUGGUGCCAGUGAUGGUGCAGGAGGAUCUGUCCUGGGAACUGCAGAGGCUGCAGUUUGGGGAAAUGCAGGUUUGGUGCACGUUGCCUGGGCUCCUGUCCAGCAUAGCCUCAUUUCUCCUCAGUGCCUUGCCUUGGCUCCCAGCCCUUUCUCCCCAGGGACAAUCAGCAUGGCUUUGGGAAGUGGGAAUUGGGGUUAGCCACAUUGACAGCCUUUGACAGUGAAACAAAGGGUCUUGCUGGGUGAAGAGAGAGAGUGGAUGUUGGGCAUUCUUCAUUCAGUUGGGCUGCCAGUACUGACUUCCCUCGAAACCUUCUGCACAAAUCCUUUUAUUAUGGCCUAGAGAAGUACUCAGUGACAUGGAUUGUGCACAUUGCACAGAUUCCUCCUCCCAGUAUCUCCUCCUGGGCUGGGGGAAACAAAAUUGCUGAAGGCUGAUCUGGCUGCUGAAGCCUGAGGUGAAUAAAGCAUUCAGGACCUCAGCCCUGUCCCAUAUCCUCUGUCACCUGGUCCCCAUCCCAUUCAGCACUGGGCCCACCUUUUCCCCGCCUCGUUUGUCCAUGCAGCCUCCUGGCAUGUUGGCCUGAGUCCUUGCUCACUGGGGAGGAACCCUCUUCAGUCCAGCACUGCUGGGACUGGGGACUGCUGUGUCCCCUGCUGGGCUCCCAAGCCUGGGAAGGACAUGGACACAGGGGAACAAUGCAAUGAAGGGCCAUGAACACAAGGGAGGGAACAUAAGGAGAGCCUGGGAGAUCUGGGUUGGUUUAGCAUGCAGAAGGAAAUGUUCUGGGGGAUCUGACACUGAGCUGAAAUACUCGAAGCUCUCUAAGUUCCAUUCAUGAGGACAUUCAGAACUGAACAGGACAAGGCUGUGGGCACCUCCUGCCCCUGCCCCCAUCAGGCAGCUCAGCCCCACACAGCUGCUCACUCAGUCCCCCUCACUGCCAUGGCAGAGAGAAACAAAAUGGUGGAGUGAGAAAAUGUAUUUUUUGACAGAGAGAGAGUUGAGAAAUCAUGGCAAAACCAAAAGACAAAAACCAAACAACAUCAAGAAUUAACUCCUGCAUUCCCAUGAGCACAGAGGAGCAGCAAAGCUGGCUCCUCUUCUGCUCCCCUCUCCUUAUGCCUGUUCUGGCUCUCCAGAAAGAACAGCAUCAGCUC
Non-coding RNA from Haemorhous mexicanus (house finch), 1760 nucleotides. NCBI's taxonomy places the organism in Eukaryota, Metazoa, Chordata, Aves, Passeriformes, Fringillidae. The record is from the annotation of a RefSeq genome assembly.